AAAUUCUCCUGCAGUGUUUGCAUAGAGAGUGUGUUUUACAUGAGCGACACACGCUUCAGUGCUCUGCAUGUGUUUAUAACUCUGACAAACAUCAAACAUGAUCAACAACUGUUUCUCACUAGAACUGAACCUACAACCAACAGAAAUGACUUUCAUCACCAUAUUGAUCUGGACGCUGACAGUAUUAUGUAGAGAAUCUAUUGGGCAGGUGACAGUGACUCAAACUCCCUCAGUGCUGCUCGCUCAAACUGGACAAUCAGUCACUGUAACCUGUACAUUUAACAGAGAUCCAGACUGCUGUUGUAGUGGAAAGCAGUGUCUCAGCUGGUACUUACAGAAACCUGGAGAAGCUCUUAAACUCCUGAUUUAUGGAACAAGCAGCCGUCAGUCAGGAACUCCAUCUAGAUUCAGUGGCAGUGGAUCUAACAGUGAUUUCACUCUGACCAUCAGUGGAGUCCAGACUGAAGAUGCUGGACAUUAUUACUGUCAGAGUUUUCAUUGCAGAACAAAUUCUUAUGGUAGUUGUGGGGGUGAUCAUGUGUUCACACAGUGUAAAGAGUGGUACAAAAACCUCGGUCAGUCAGAGUCACAGUGACUGAACUGAUGCUGCAGCUGAUCAAACACUAUCACUCACUACUGACACACAGAGACCAAACACAGAACUACACAUGAGCUCAGAACUGAGUUAGGAGUCAAAUCAGCUCUAUUAGACUGUGAUCUAUCAUGUGACAGACGGGUUUAACUCAAUUAUGCUCAGAAUCAGAGAAAAACUAAAGUGCCUAAAGUGAUAUUAAAUUAAACAAAAAACAAUGGUGCCACGUUUCUCAGUUCCAGUGUUGUAGUUUUUGUGUUUUGUUUAGAAAAGAUUAUUUAACCCUCACUGUGUAUCACCAUUUGCAUAGCCAUCGUCUGCAAGCUGUGACAUCGACAUAAAUAAAACAUCAACGCAAACUUUAUUG
Non-coding RNA from Cyprinus carpio (common carp), 959 nucleotides. The record is from the annotation of a RefSeq genome assembly. NCBI's taxonomy places the organism in Eukaryota, Metazoa, Chordata, Actinopteri, Cypriniformes, Cyprinidae.